RNAcentral lists this ribosomal RNA (513 nucleotides) under uncultured bacterium. RNAcentral's name for it is "partial 16S ribosomal RNA". It matches the Rfam family "Bacterial small subunit ribosomal RNA", at positions 28 to 523 of the family's 1533-position model. The record is from RNAcentral.
GACGAACGCUGGCGGCGUGCCUAAUACAUGCAAGUAGAACGCUGAAGAGAGGAGCUUGCUCUUCUUGGAUGAGUUGCGAACGGGUGAGUAACGCGUAGGUAACCUGUCUUGUAGCGGGGGAUAACUAUUGGAAACGAUAGCUAAUACCGCAUAACAAUGGAUGACUCAUGUCAUUUAUUUGAAAGGGGCAAAUGCUCCACUACAAGAUGGACCUGCGUUGUAUUAGCUAGUAGGUGAGGUAACGGCUCACCUAGGCGACGAUACAUAGCCGACCUGAGAGGGUGAUCGGCCACACUGUGACUGAGACACGGCCCAGACUCCUACGGGAGGCAGCAGUAGGGAAUCUUCGGCAAUGGGGGCAACCCUGACCGAGCAACGCCGCGUGAGUGAAGAAGGUUCUCGGAUCGUAAAGCUCUGUUGUAAGUCAAGAACGAGUGCGAGAGUGGAAAGUUCACACUGUGACGGUAGCUUACCAGAAAGGGACGGCUAACUACGUGCCAGCCGCCGCCGUAA